Molecule: non-coding RNA, 32 nt
Filed under: Rattus norvegicus (Norway rat)
Lineage: Eukaryota; Metazoa; Chordata; Mammalia; Rodentia; Muridae
Source: RNAcentral
GCCAAAAAGAAAAAAAAUCUCAGUUAAAGGUC